RNAcentral lists this ribosomal RNA (513 nucleotides) under uncultured bacterium. RNAcentral's name for it is "partial 16S ribosomal RNA". It matches the Rfam family "Bacterial small subunit ribosomal RNA", at positions 28 to 523 of the family's 1533-position model. The record is from RNAcentral.
GACGAACGCUGGCGGCAUGCCUAAUACAUGCAAGUCGAGCGAACAGAUGAAGUGCUUGCACUUCUGACGUUAGCGGCGAACGGGUGAGUAACACGUAAGGAAUCUACCUAUAAGCGGGGGAUAACAUUCGGAAACGGGUGCUAAUACCGCAUAAUAUCUUCUUCCGCAUGGAAGAAGAUUGAAAGCCGGCUCUGCUGUCACUUAUAGAUGACCUUGCGGUGCAUUAGUUAGUUGGUGGGGUAAUGGCCUACCAAGACGAUGAUGCAUAGGCGACCUGAGAGGGUGAUCGGCCACAUUGGGACUGAGACACGGCCCAAACUCCUACGGGAGGCAGCAGUAGGGAAUCUUCCGCAAUGGGCGAAAGCCUGACGGAGCAAUGCCGCGUGAGUGAAGAAGGCCUUCGGGUCGUAAAACUCUGUUAUAAGAGAAGAACAAAUUGUAGAGUAACUGCUACAGUCUUGACGGUAUCUUAUCAGAAAGCCACGGCUAACUACGUGCCAGCAGCCGCCGUAA